This 300-nucleotide long non-coding RNA is filed under the name Elaeis guineensis (African oil palm). Its description in RNAcentral is "long non-coding RNA (EGUI_LNC063489)". Lineage: Eukaryota; Viridiplantae; Streptophyta; Magnoliopsida; Arecales; Arecaceae. The record is from RNAcentral.
CACCGACCUAAGGUUUCAUUUCUAAACCUCACUUAUAGGUAUAUAUGUUUGAUUGAAUACACCAUGGGAGAUCCUAGGAUUUUGAAUUUCAGAUUUAUCGAAUUUCAUAAAAAUUUUGAAAUCUAAUCUUUCGUUGCAUGAUCCAAAACCUAACAGUGAUAUCAGAGCCUUCUUUGAUUGAUUCAAUCAAUAUGAUAUUUAUUGAUGAUCAAAUUUUGUUAUUCAUCAUUCUGUAAGGUUGCCCUGGCAUAGUGGUGGAUGUCCGCUAUGUGGUAGAUGGUUGUCCUAAAAUGAUGAAAU